Molecule: long non-coding RNA, 2103 nt
Organism: Macaca mulatta (Rhesus monkey)
Lineage: Eukaryota; Metazoa; Chordata; Mammalia; Primates; Cercopithecidae
Source: Ensembl
UAGUAAUUUCACAAUGCAUACAUAUAUCAAUUAUCAUGUUAAACACCUUAAAUAUAUACAUUUUUUGUGAGUCAGGGUUUUGUUCUGCCACCCAGGCUCGAGUGAAGUUGGGUGAUCGUGGCCCACUGCAGCCUCAAACUUCCAGGCUCAAAGGAUGUAGCUCAGCUUCCCAAGUAGCUAGAAUCACAGGCACACAGAAAAACUCGAUGGAGGAUAGCUGUGAAAGGAACUGGUUCUUAAAGGAGGGAAAAGGUAUGGAGCAGCACACUGAAAGAUUUCCAGAAAUGGAAAUGCUAGUGGCUGGGAAAAGGGACAUAGAGAGGACGUUUUAGGUAAAGGAGGUGUUAUUAGCAAAACAAAGGAGUGGGUGAAUGUAAGGAACAGAACAGCACAUGUGAAGAGAAGUACUAUACCUUCAGAGUGCAAAAGUAAGAUUGACUCAAUAUAUGGAAGGCUAUUUUUUUUUAAUAAACGUAUAUCGUAUCAGCCAAGCACAGUGGCUCCCACCUGUAAUCCCAGCAUUUUGGGAGGGCGAGGCAGGUGGAUCACUCGAGCUCAGGAGUUCCAGACUAGCAUGGGCAACAUGGCAAAACUCCAUUUCUACAAAAACUGCAAAAAUUAGCCAGGUGUGGUGGUGCAGGCUGGUAGUCCCAGCUACUGGAGAGGCUGAGGUGGGAGGAUGGCUUGAGCAUGGGAGGUUGAGGCUGCAGUGAGCUGAGAUCAUGACCCUGCACUGCAGCCUGGGUGACAGAACAAGACACUGUCUCAACGAAGAAAAAGUAAAUUAUAUCAUGUUUUUCACACUUUUAAAAUUGUCCAGUGGAUUCCUAUAACCCUUAGAUUUAGUGACACCUCACCAUGGCCUACAGAGACCCCAUAAUGUAUCCUUGUCUGCCUCUCCGGCUAACCUUUUCCACCCUUCCUGGGACUCACCGCAAUCCAAUGCCUCAGUUCCUCCAGGCCUCAGUUCCUCCAGGGACUCAACAAGUUCACUCUUGUUCCAGUUCUUAGAACUUGCUGCCACCUCAUUGCUCUCUCCCCACAUCUUGAAAUUGUUUCCUUGUGAUUCACCUGUCAGCCCAAGUAGCUUUUCUUCAGUGACAAAUCCCUGCUACUUAAUUAAGUCAUUGUCACCACUGUACCUCAACCUGCAAUCAUUCUCUAAUGUGUUUAACAACCAAAACUUAUUCUUUGAUUUGUUCAUUUUGAGAGUUCUAUUUGGGAUGACAGAACGUUAGAAAAUAGGAUGAUCGCACUUUAUGAAUAUACUGAAAAGCAUUGAGUUGCACACUUUAAAUUGGUGACCAGUAUGAUAUGUGAAUUAUAUCUCCAUAAAGCUGUUAGAAAAAGAAAAAAGAAAUAAAAGGGAAGAAAGGAAAGAAAAAUAAAGACAGGAAAGAAGAGAUCAAAAGGCUCUGGAAACUCAAAAGUGUGUCUUCAUUCAAUAUAGAAGCUCCCACAGCUAUUAUUCACUGAAGUGCCAAAGUCAUACUCUGUCAUUAUCCCUCUUUAGCACUUAUGUGACUUUAGCUGUGACUUACAUGACUUCUCAAAUAGUUCUUUAAAUUGUUCUUUCUGACUCAAGGAAGACCUUAGUUGAUUUUCUUUCAAACUUCAUCUUUUUUUUUUUUUUUUUUCUGAGCUGGAGUCUCACUGUGUUGCCCAGGUUAGAGUAAAAUGGCAUGAUCUCAGCUCACUGUAACCUCUGUCUCCCAGGUUCAAGUGAUUCUCCUGCCUCAACCUCCCAAGUAGCUGGGCAUGUGCCACCGUGCCCAGCCUCAUCUUUUAUUUUUUAAAGAAAAACUAUUUCCCAAUGGUCAGAUAGGGGUGACAGUAAGACUUGUUCAUUAGCAAAGAUUUGCAAGUAAUGUCUUUGUGCACAUUACAACUUUCAAAACAAGACCUGGUCUUUCCGGUGGAGGUCAAAAUUUUAUCAAAUGACAGUAGGAAGAGAGAUGACUAAGGAUGAAUGAUGCUUAAUUGAAGACAUUAGUGAGAAAGCAGAAAAAAAAAUGUACCCCCUCCAGAUCUGAAGCAAUAUUGACAAAAAUGGUUGGGAAGUACUGCUCUGGCCAGUCACAUUGUUUUCGAUAGCACAUGUCA